Long non-coding RNA from Pantherophis guttatus, 725 nucleotides. RefSeq lists it as uncharacterized. NCBI's taxonomy places the organism in Eukaryota, Metazoa, Chordata, Lepidosauria, Squamata, Colubridae. The record is from RefSeq and is a predicted model, not a curated record.
UUUUUAAUUUGUGGUAGCAAAUUUCGUAAGAUAAUCAUGCAUAAAGGGAUCUUUAAAAAACCACAGCUUUCUCAGAACAUGCCACCCACCAAGUACAUGUUAAUAUAUUUCUGAAACAAUGUUCUGAACUAAUCCAGAUUCUCUCCUUAGGUAUAUACCCAGACAACUUUCUAGAUCCUAGAGUCAUUGGACAUGAGAUGGGCGGCAAAUCAAUUUAAUAAUAAAUAAGUAGGAGCCAAGGAAGAAGAGCAUUUCAAUGUGUUUUGCAGCAGAAACCGCUGAGCAUCAAGGAGGUGUCAGAAGCCAGUUCUAGCACAGAAGAUAUUCUCCUUAAGUGCUAGAACUCAAUAACCGGGGACAAUCUCCGGGGAAACUUGCUCAUGUAUACUUCAUCAAAAGGAACAAGGACUGCAAAAAGUGCCCCAUACGCCAUCUUUCCUUAUCCCCAAUUCUGCAACUCUUAAAACAGUUCACCAGACAAUUAUUAACAGACACACUUUAUGUCAGGAUAUGUUGGAGCAGAUCUUCAAGAGUUCGGGAACAUGUGGAAUGCUAAGUACAUAAGAGAGCCAGAAUUCCCAGGCAAAAGGGUUUAGUAAAAUCAUGGCAGAGAGAGAAGAGGGAAAAUCUGGUAGAACACAGAAGGUAUCAAAAGGGGACUUGGUUUACUAUGAUGGACACUUCGUUCUUAAACCUCACAGCUGGAAUAAAAUUCUGGAUCUGAA